This 247-nucleotide ribosomal RNA is filed under the name uncultured Bacillota bacterium. Its description in RNAcentral is "uncultured Firmicutes bacterium partial 16S ribosomal RNA". It matches the Rfam family "Bacterial small subunit ribosomal RNA", at positions 796 to 1041 of the family's 1533-position model. The record is from RNAcentral. Lineage: Bacteria; Bacillati; Bacillota.
CACGCUGUAAACGAUGAAUACUAGGUGUAGGGGGUAUCGACCCCCUCUGCGCCGCAGUCAACACAUUAAGUAUUCCACCUGGGGAGUACGGCCGCAAGGCUGAAACUCAAAGGAAUUGACGGGGACCCGCACAAGCAGUGGAGUAUGUGGUUUAAUUCGACGCAACGCGAAGAACCUUACCAGGGCUUGACAUCCCUCGCUAUCCCUCGAGAUAGGGAGUUCCCUUCGGGGACGAGGAGACAGGUGG